Molecule: ribosomal RNA, 506 nt
Filed under: uncultured bacterium
Lineage: Bacteria
Description: partial 16S ribosomal RNA
Rfam family: Bacterial small subunit ribosomal RNA
Source: RNAcentral
AGUGAACGCUGGCGGUAGGCCUAACACAUGCAAGUCGAACGGCAGCACAGGAGAGCUUGCUCUCUGGGUGGCGAGUGGCGGACGGGUGAGGAAUACAUCGGAAUCUACUCUGUCGUGGGGGAUAACGUAGGGAAACUUACGCUAAUACCGCAUACGACCUACGGGUGAAAGCAGGGGAUCUUCGGACCUUGCGCGAUUGAAUGAGCCGAUGUCGGAUUAGCUAGUUGGCGGGGUAAAGGCCCACCAAGGCGACGAUCCGUAGCUGGUCUGAGAGGAUGAUCGGCCAAACUGGAACUGGGACACGGUCCAGCCUCCUACGGGAGGCAGCAGUGGGGAAUAUUGGAAAAUGGGCGCAAGCCCGAUCCAGCCAUACCGCGUGGGUGAAGAAGGCCUUCGGGUUGUAAAGCCCUUUUGUUGGGAAAGAAAUCCAGCUGGCUAAUACCCGGUUGGGAUGACGGUACCCAAAGAAUAAGCACCGGCUAACUUCGUGCCAGCCGCCGCAGUAA